CCUACGGGAGGCAGCAGUGGGGGAUAUUGCACAAUGGGGGGAACCCUGAUGCAGCGACGCCGCGUGGGUGAAGGAGUAUUUCGGUAUGUAAAGCCCUAUCGGCAGGGAAGAAAUUGGACGGUACCUGACUAAGAAGCCCCGGCUAACUACGUGCCAGCAGCCGCGGUAAUACGUAGUGGGCAAGCGUUAUCCGGAUUCACUGGGUGUAAAGGGAGCGUAGACGGCCAUGCAAGCCAGGGGUGAAAGCCCGGGGCCCAACCCCGGGACUGCCCUUGGAACUGCAUGGCUGGAGUGCGGGAGGGGCAGGCGGAAGUCCUGGUGUAGCGGUGAAAUGCGUAGAUAUCAGGAGGAACACCGGCGGCGAAGGCGGCCUGCUGGACCGCGACUGACGUUGAGGCUCGAAAGCGUGGGGAGCGAACAGGAUUAGAUACCCUAGUAGUC
This 441-nucleotide ribosomal RNA is filed under the name uncultured bacterium. RNAcentral describes it as "partial 16S ribosomal RNA". It matches the Rfam family "Bacterial small subunit ribosomal RNA", at positions 338 to 795 of the family's 1533-position model. The record is from RNAcentral.